RNAcentral lists this long non-coding RNA (293 nucleotides) under Ricinus communis (castor bean). Its description in RNAcentral is "long non-coding RNA (RCOM_LNC000772)". The record is from RNAcentral. Lineage: Eukaryota; Viridiplantae; Streptophyta; Magnoliopsida; Malpighiales; Euphorbiaceae.
GUGCAUCAUGCAUCAUAUGCAUCAUACUAACCUUUUCCUUUUUAGCCAUAUAGACUCUCAUGUGGGUCGGAAGAGGCCAGAGAGUGGGAGGUUGGAAAAAGGGCCCAUCUCUCCAAGGAUCAAAAUUGUGUUAGAGCACUUAGAAGAAUCGAGACGCCAAGAAGAGAUGGCCAAUAAAAUAACUAAUAUACAAGACAUUGAGAUCCUCAAGAAUGUUGUAGUAGAACACUUGAGGGGUGUGAUUGGGGAGGAACUUCAACAACUCCUGGCUGGGAUGGCUACAAACCAAGCCC